UACGUAGGGGGCAAGCGUUAUCCGGAUUUACUGGGUGUAAAGGGAGCGUAGACGGCACGGCAAGCCAGAUGUGAAAGCCCAGGGCUCAACCCUGGGACUGCAUUUGGAACUGCUGAGCUAGAGUGUCGGAGAGGCAAGUGGAAUUCCUAGUGUAGCGGUGAAAUGCGUAGAUAUUAGGAGGAACACCAGUGGCGAAGGCGGCUUGCUGGACGAUGACUGACGUUGAGGCUCGAAAGCGUGGGGAGCAAACAGG
RNAcentral lists this ribosomal RNA (253 nucleotides) under Dorea longicatena. Its description in RNAcentral is "partial 16S ribosomal RNA". It matches the Rfam family "Bacterial small subunit ribosomal RNA", at positions 524 to 776 of the family's 1533-position model. Lineage: Bacteria; Bacillati; Bacillota; Clostridia; Lachnospirales; Lachnospiraceae. The record is from RNAcentral.